GCCCUUGUCGCUUAAUGGACAAAGCAUUGGCCUCCGGAGCCGAAGAUAGCAGUUCGAUUCUGCUCAAGGGCACAA
This 75-nucleotide transfer RNA is filed under the name Candidatus Moraniibacteriota bacterium. RNAcentral describes it as "Candidatus Moranbacteria bacterium (sediment metagenome) tRNA-Arg". It matches the Rfam family "tRNA". Rfam says of the family: Transfer RNA (tRNA) molecules are approximately 80 nucleotides in length. The record is from RNAcentral. Lineage: Bacteria; Candidatus Moraniibacteriota.